GAUGAACGCUAGCGGCGGGCUUAACACAUGCAAGUCGAGGGGUAUAGGGUUUCGAACCUAGAUACCGGCGCACGGGUGCGUAACGCGUAUGCAAUCUACCUUGUACAGGGGGAGAGCCGAGAGAAAUUUGGAUUAAUACCCCAUAGUAUUAUAGAAUGGCAUCAUGUUAUAAUUAAGGUUCCAACGGUACAAGAUGAGCAGGCGUCCCAUUAGCUCGUUGGUAUGGUAACGGCAUACCAAGGCUACGAUGGGUAGGGGUCCGGAGAGGGAGAUACCCCACACUGGUACUGAGACACGGAGCAGACUCCAACGGGGGGCAGAAGUGAGGAAUAUUGGUCAAGGGACGAGAGUCUGAACCAGCCAUGCCGCGUGCAGGAUGACGGUCCUAUGGAUUGUAAACUGCUUUUGUACAGGAAGAAACACUCCUACGUGUAGGAACUUGACGGUACUGUAAGAAUAAGGAUCGGCUAACUCCGUGCCAGCAGCCGCCGCAG
This 494-nucleotide ribosomal RNA is filed under the name uncultured bacterium. RNAcentral's name for it is "partial 16S ribosomal RNA". It matches the Rfam family "Bacterial small subunit ribosomal RNA", at positions 28 to 523 of the family's 1533-position model. The record is from RNAcentral.